CAGAGCUCGAGGAGGAGCUGUUUCUUUCCAAAGAGGAGAACAAGAGACUCCAGAAACUACUGGACGCUGUUUUACAGCCUCAGCUUCGGAUCCACAGAGCAGGUACACCUGGUCCGCCCCUGGCUCCGCCUCCCCCAGGUGUCCUAAUGACAUUCAGCUGGGGACUUUAAAAGGAGAAGCUGGAGGAGAAGAGGUCUCUUUUCCUGUCCUGAUACCGAGGGAUUAUAUCCGUGGAUUUCCUCUCACCCCACGUGUGGAUCCAUUAUUCUUUUGCUGUCUUAUAUUGUGUGAACUCUGGAGGAUGUUAGUUUAGGAUUUUUCGCGGCUUUGUUUUUUUCCCAGUAGGUUGUGUUAGAGGAGGGAGGCUGGGUCCUACGGCCCAUGGUGUGGCUGGCCCAGGCCCCCUUCUUCCUUUUUGUUUGUUUUUUGCCGUCCUCCAGACUUGGUUCCGUUUUGCCGGUAGACAUGUAAGUUACGACUGUGCUGACAAUAAAUGCCCGUCGUUAACGAUAUUCUGUGUUUGGCGUGGUUUGUUUUUAUGUUACGGGUCUUCCGACGAGCCACUACCACUUGGUAGGGGGACGGGUCGUAACAAUAGUCACUGCUCAUAAACCUUAAAAUAUUAAGUAAAUGUUAAUCUAAAACCAUAGUAGCUGUUUGAAUCCGCGCGUCUUGACAAAACAAGAUACCGGCGAUUUUGGACGACGGUUCAGUUGGGUUUGCACUUUGAAGGCUGUCGGAGGAGCUACAUGGCUGGAAAAAGAAGUGUUGGUAAGUUAUUGUCUCUCUGUUUAAGACUUAUGAUAAUAUAUGUGUCUUUGUGCAUAAUAGCCUGAUUCUUGUUUGCUUGAAUCAUGUUAACGUUUCUGUGCAUUAGCUCACAAAGUUGAGAGAUUAUGUUUUAGAUAUGUUAAGAUGUGAUGAUCGACGGUGUCAAACGCUUUUGAAAGGUCAAUAAAUAGAGCUGCACAACUCUGUUUAUUAUCUAAAAUACUCGCCACAUCAUUCACCGUGCUGUUAGCUAGCUAACAUGAACUGUAAUUUACCAGAUAAUUUAAAAAAAACACUCCCAUGCACCUAAAGAAGGUUCCAGAGAACACAUUUUCAUUCAGAUAUCUUGAGCUUAAAGGUCAGAGGAUUACCCCUUUGAAUAUGGUCAUGUCAUUUUCCCCUCGUCAAAAUGUUGCCUAUCUUUGCAGCGUUAUUUAGCCUCUUUGCUGACCAGCAUGACAUGGGUUGGACAAGGCACCAAUGGAUUCCUCAGAUCCUAGUUUCAUAUGAUAUCAUCUUUACUCUAGAGAUCUUUACUCUUUACUCUAUCCGGGCCGUACAAUUGUCCGGCCCGGAUUAGGGCCCUAGGGUCUCAGAGUUAAUGAUGGUCUUUAGCACAUGUGUUGAUUCUGCCCUGAUAAUGAAGUCACUUUGAAUGAUUCAAGCAUUCUAUGUUUCUCACUUCAUUUUUCUUGUAAAUUGUAUGCAGGAGGACGCCGCAGUGAUGCAACUGAACACGUCCUGAAGAUCCUGGUUGUCCAUGGUGCCAAUGGAGAGGAUCCAGUGGAUGCAGCCCUCCUGCUUGAAGGCAGAGAGAUGAUGCCAGGAUGCGGCAGUACUGCCGAGCCAUGCACGCUGCUUAUGGGGCUGAUUUAUGCCUUAACCCUGGCAUACCCCCCAACACUGCGCUACACUUUUGAGGUGUUCCAGAAACUUUUUCUCGGACUGGAUGGGAUUAAGCUGACCCCAAAAGUACAAGCUUUGAAGGUGAACCUGCUGUCUUAAAGACAUGGCAAAAAACAAUCUUGGAUCGUACAUCCCAACUGACUUCUUCAUAUGUACCGUCCACUGUCCAUGUUGCAAUUGCUCAGUUUCAGGGAGCUGUAUCAAUCUCUGUCUCCCCCCUCUGCCAUUUUUUUCUUUCUCAGUAUAAACAUUUCUCCCUCUUUCUCUCUCUCACACGGAUUACAGUUGUUGCCGUCUAUUCAUAUUCUAUUAUAUGUUUCCCCCCCCUCCUUAGGUAAAUAAACGUUUGUAUUGAAUGUUUAGAAAGCACCACUCCAAAUCUAUGAUGGAGGAGAUUUGUUUUGUGGCAGUGAUAUUUUUAUUUUAUAUAUUUUUUGAUAAGUUAAUAUUAUUAUAAUGUUAAUGUUGUCGGUUAAUAGUGAUUGAAUUGUUGACAAAAUAAAGUUUUAUUGUAUUUUA
Molecule: long non-coding RNA, 2196 nt
Organism: Gymnodraco acuticeps
Lineage: Eukaryota; Metazoa; Chordata; Actinopteri; Perciformes; Bathydraconidae
Exons: 2
Source: RefSeq, a predicted model, not a curated record